UUAGCUGAGAGGUGGUGCAGUCGGCCGUCGUCAGUUCGUACUGUGAAGCAUCCUGUUAAGUCAGGCAACGAGCGAGACCCACGUCCACAGUUGCCAGCAUACCCUCCGGGGUGAUGGGUACACUGUGGAGACCGCCGCUGCUAAAGCGGAGGAAGGAGUGGGCAACGGUAGGUCAGUAUGCCCCGAAUCUCCCGGGCUACACGCGGGCUACAAUGGUUGGUACAAUGGGCAUCUACCCCGAAAGGGGAAGGAAAUCUCUUAAAGCCAAUCGUAGUUCGGAUUGAGGGCUGCAACUCGCCCUCAUGAAGCUGGAAUCCGUAGUAAUCGCGUUUCAACAGAACGCGGUGAAUACGUCCCUGCUCCUU
RNAcentral lists this ribosomal RNA (365 nucleotides) under uncultured Methanosaeta sp. RNAcentral's name for it is "bacterial SSU rRNA". It matches the Rfam family "Archaeal small subunit ribosomal RNA", at positions 976 to 1338 of the family's 1478-position model. Lineage: Archaea; Methanobacteriati; Methanobacteriota; Methanomicrobia; Methanotrichales; Methanotrichaceae. The record is from RNAcentral.